CCUACGGGUGGCAGCAGUGGGGAAUAUUGGACAAUGGGGGGAACCCUGAUCCAGCCAUGCCGCGUGUGUGAAGAAGGCCCUCGGGUUGUAAAGCACUUUCAGUGAGGAAGAAAGCCUGGUGGUUAAUACCCAUCAGGAAAGACAUCACUCACAGAAGAAGCACCGGCUAACUCCGUGCCAGCAGCCGCGGUAAUACGGAGGGUGCGAGCGUUAAUCGGAAUUACUGGGCGUAAAGCGCGCGUAGGUGGCUUGAUAAGCCGGUUGUGAAAGCCCCGGGCUCAACCUGGGAACGGCAUCCGGAACUGUCAAGCUAGAGUGCAGGAGAGGAAGGUAGAAUUCCCGGUGUAGCGGUGAAAUGCGUAGAGAUCGGGAGGAAUACCAGUGGCGAAGGCGGCCUUCUGGACUGACACUGACACUGAGGUGCGAAAGCGUGGGUAGCAAACAGGAUUAGAUACCCUGGUAGUC
This 465-nucleotide ribosomal RNA is filed under the name Vreelandella stevensii. RNAcentral's name for it is "partial 16S ribosomal RNA". It matches the Rfam family "Bacterial small subunit ribosomal RNA", at positions 338 to 795 of the family's 1533-position model. Lineage: Bacteria; Pseudomonadati; Pseudomonadota; Gammaproteobacteria; Oceanospirillales; Halomonadaceae. The record is from RNAcentral.